ACCAGCAGCCAUAUCACCCUGCAACUCACAACUGGCAACCCACAGGUGUGAGCCUGGUCAGUACCUGGAUGGGAGACCUCCUGGGAAAAACUAAGGUUGCUGCUGGAA
This 108-nucleotide ribosomal RNA is filed under the name Lepisosteus oculatus (spotted gar). Lineage: Eukaryota; Metazoa; Chordata; Actinopteri; Semionotiformes; Lepisosteidae. The record is from RNAcentral.